This 536-nucleotide ribosomal RNA is filed under the name Hortaea werneckii. RNAcentral describes it as "eukaryotic LSU rRNA". The stretch from base 170 to 323 matches the Rfam family "5.8S ribosomal RNA". The record is from RNAcentral. Lineage: Eukaryota; Fungi; Ascomycota; Dothideomycetes; Mycosphaerellales; Teratosphaeriaceae.
UGCGGAGGGAUCAUUACCGAGUGUGGCGCUCCGGCGCCUCCCUCCAACCCCAUGUCGAAACGACUCUGUUGCCUCGGGGGCGACCCGGCCUUCGGGCGUCGGGGCCCCCGGCGGACACCUUCAUAACUCUUGCAUCUCUUGCGUCUGAGUGAUACAUAUAAUCAAUCAAAACUUUCAACAACGGAUCUCUUGGUUCUGGCAUCGAUGAAGAACGCAGCGAAAUGCGAUAAGUAAUGUGAAUUGCAGAAUUCAGUGAAUCAUCGAAUCUUUGAACGCACAUUGCGCCCCCUGGCAUUCCGGGGGGCAUGCCUGUUCGAGCGUCAUUACACCACUCAAGCCUGGCUUGGUAUUGAGCGCCGCGGCCUGCCCGCGCGCUCCAAUGUCUCCGGCUGAGCCGUCCGUCUCUAAGCGUUGUGAAUAGCGAUCGCUUGCGAGGCCCGGGCGGUUCGACGCCGUUAAACCCCCCAUUUUCUAUGGUUGACCUCGGAUCAGGUAGGGAUACCCGCUGAACUUAAGCAUAUCAAUAAGCGGAGGAA